UCCAGCAGUGAGGAAGAGCUGUGAUCAAGGGAAUAAACACACUCCUGACUACAAAACAUUUACACUGGCUUGGCAUGUGGCCUCCUGCAUUGGUUGGAAAGAAGUGGGAUCAACAGGGGUCACUGCAAACUAGUUCCAACUGGCUGCAAACAGCUGUGCUGUUAAUUACUUUAUUGGCCAUAGAAGAUCCCAACAGGAACUUCAGGUUCUUUGUAGAGCUGUAACAAUGAGGAAAAUAAAUUUUGGAACAAAUGAAGAAAAGACUUGUAAAAUUCACCGUAAAUUUGCAUCAUUUACCAAGAUGGGACAGCUCCCCAAAUAC
Long non-coding RNA from Passer domesticus (house sparrow), 322 nucleotides. RefSeq lists it as uncharacterized. Lineage: Eukaryota; Metazoa; Chordata; Aves; Passeriformes; Passeridae. The record is from RefSeq and is a predicted model, not a curated record. The transcript has 3 exons.